Molecule: ribosomal RNA, 494 nt
Filed under: uncultured bacterium
Lineage: Bacteria
Description: bacterial SSU rRNA
Rfam family: Bacterial small subunit ribosomal RNA
Source: RNAcentral
AGUGAACGCUGGCGGCAGGCCUAAUACAUGCAAGUCGAACGGCAGCACAGCAGAGCUUGCUCUGUGGGUGGCGAGUGGCGGACGGGUGAGGAAUACAUGGGAAUCUGCCCAGUCGUGGGGGAUAACGUAGGGAAACUUACGCUAAUACCGCAUGCGCCCUUCGGGGGAAAGCCGGGGACCUUCGGGCCUGGCGCGAUUGGAUGAGCCCAUGUCGGAUUAGCUAGUUGGCGGGGUAAUGGCCCACCAAGGCGACGAUCCGUAGCUGGUCUGAGAGGAUGAUCAGCCACACUGGAACUGAGACACGGUCCAGACUCCUACGGGAGGCAGCAGUAGGGAAUAUUGGACAAUGGGCGCAAGCCUGAUCCAGCCAUGCCGCGUGGAGGAAGAAGUCCUUCGGGCGUAAACUCCUGGACUGGGGACGAGUAAGGAACGGUACCCCAGUAGAAAGGGACGGCGUAACUACGUGCCACGCAGCCGCGGUAAAGAGUAGUACA